This 623-nucleotide ribosomal RNA is filed under the name Rotylenchulus reniformis. RNAcentral's name for it is "SSU rRNA". It matches the Rfam family "Eukaryotic small subunit ribosomal RNA", at positions 1003 to 1664 of the family's 1831-position model. The record is from RNAcentral. Lineage: Eukaryota; Metazoa; Nematoda; Chromadorea; Rhabditida; Hoplolaimidae.
GGCGAUCAGAUACCGCCCUAGUUCUGACCGUAAACGAUGCCAACUAGCGAUCCGUCGGCGGAUUCAUUCGCCCUGGUGGGGAGCUUCCCGGAAACGAAAGUCUUCCGGUUCCGGGGGAAGUAUGGUUGCAAAGCUGAAACUUAAAGGAAUUGACGGAAGGGCGCCACCAGGAGUGGAGCCUGCGGCUUAAUUUGACUCAACACGGGGAAACUCACCCGGCCCGGACACCGUAAGGAUUGACAGAUUGAUAGCUUUUUCAUGAUUCGGUGGAUGGUGGUGCAUGGCCGUUCUUAGUUCGUGGAGCGAUUUGUCUGGUUUAUUCCGAUAACGAGCGAGACUCUGGCCUACUAAAUAGUUGGCACAUUGCCACUGUGUGCCCAACUUCUUAGAGGGAUUUUCGGUGUUCAGCCGCACGAAAUUGAGCAAUAACAGGUCUGUGAUGCCCUUUAGAUGUCCGGGGCUGCACGCGCGCUACACUGGCAAAAUCAGCGUGCUUGUCCUCCCGAAAGGGUGUAAACCGAUGAAAUUGCCGUGAUUGGGAUCGGACAUGCAAUUAUGUCCGUGAACGAGGAAUCCUGUAAGGGCGAGUCAUCAACUCGUCCUGAAUACGUCCUGCCCUUGUA